This 254-nucleotide ribosomal RNA is filed under the name uncultured bacterium. Its description in RNAcentral is "partial 16S ribosomal RNA". It matches the Rfam family "Bacterial small subunit ribosomal RNA", at positions 524 to 776 of the family's 1533-position model. The record is from RNAcentral.
UACGUAGGGCGCAAGCGUUGUUCGGAUUUACUGGGCGUAAAGGGCGCGUAGGCGGUCGUGACAAGUCACUUGUGAAAUCUCCGGGCUUAACUCGGAACGGUCAAGUGAUACUGUCGGACUAGAGUACAGAAGGGGCAACUGGAAUUCUCGGUGUAGCGGUGAAAUGCGUAGAUAUCGAGAGGAACACCUGCGGCGAAGGCGGGUUGCUGGGCUGAUACUGACGCUGAGGCGCGAAAGCCAGGGGAGCGAACGGG